CUCGGAUUCUUGUCUAUAAAAUGAAAAAAGAAAAUUGAACUAGAUUCUCCAAGGAUGCUCCCGGUUCUAAUAAUACAGUAUUGGAAAAGCUGUAUUUCUUAGGCUACGAUUAAGUAAUAGGCCUCUUUCCCCACAUUUUUCUGCACCCAGUGGACUCAGCAGCAGGCUCUUCUUUUUGCUGAUGCACUGAGAGAUGGUGAUGGAACCGGGAACCUGACCGACUCCAGUGCCCAGUACCGAGUGUCAUCUCGAGUGGACAGAGCACUUGCUUCUCCGGGUUCUGGAAUUCCCAUGGUGCUGUACAGGAAUGUGGUGACAAAUCUGACAACCUGAGAAAGGAGCAUCGUGCAACAGCAAGUCACCAGGGUGGUUCAUUCGUGCUGCAGAUUUGCCUGCCAUCCUUGGCCCCCAGUCACCUGCUCCACUAUCACUGCGGGGAAGAGCGUCACAUGUCAGCAUCCUGGAGCCCGGGGAAGGAGUCUGCUUUGAAUCCUCCGAAGUAA
RNAcentral lists this long non-coding RNA (503 nucleotides) under Fukomys damarensis (Damara mole-rat). RNAcentral describes it as "lncRNA (ENSFDAG00000023179.1)". The record is from RNAcentral. Lineage: Eukaryota; Metazoa; Chordata; Mammalia; Rodentia; Bathyergidae.